Molecule: long non-coding RNA, 6730 nt
Filed under: Lynx pardinus (Iberian lynx)
Lineage: Eukaryota; Metazoa; Chordata; Mammalia; Carnivora; Felidae
Source: RNAcentral
AUUAUGCCUAAAACAAUGCUUGGAACUUAAUAGGUACUCAAUAUAUGUUGGCUGAUUGGAAUAAAUAGAAUUGUUGAAUAGGAAUCCAUUAUAUUUUGGAUUAUUUUGGCAGAGCUUUGCCCAUUCUUCUUAUAGCUUGAACAUUGUAGUUUCUCUGCAAGGAAAAUUGUUCAACAGUGCUAUUCUCAAAUGGACUCUCCCAUUUGCAGGAACAAAGAAAACUUAAUUUUCAGCAUUUUCCAUGAGAGCCCAGGAAUGGCACAAAGUUUCUUAUACUCUUGAUGGAAAGGCCACUAAUAGUUCUAAGUAAAUACUUUUAUUUCUAAUCAAAACUUUCUUUUCUGAACAUUUGCCCUCACAUUAUUCAUUUAUUCACCCAAGAAAUUAUUUGGAAGCCCCAAGGUCUCAUUGUUCUUCCCUGCAUUUAUUUUAUGGUAUCAAAGGUUAAAGCUUGGAUUGCAAUCUUAGGAGGAAAUUAAUUCACUGAUUACGAAAAAUGCACUUUAAGCAAUACACAUUUAAAUAACAGACAAGCAUAGGGCGAUGUAUUUCUGGUUUUUCUGAAAGACCCUUUUUUUCUGCUUAAAAUUUUAAGCAGCUGCGAUUCUUCCACCCUACAGCCUGGAGAAACAUAGCAGGAAUUACUAAUAAGGGCACCGAUCUACACUGCAGUGACCACUUUCAGAACAAAAGGGUCAGAACUGAAACCAGGAAAACAGCAGCAUUUUUUAUCAACCAGUUGCUUGAAGCACAUUUAGACCUUGGCUCUACUUGAAAAUAUUUUGCAAUAGUCUAUCCUCCUUCCACUGAAGGCACUUGGCCCCGAAGACUCCACUUUCAAUGAAGAAAUGUUCAUUUAUAUACUACCUGCAAUCCUCAACAAAAAUUUUCCUCCUCUUUGGAAACCAGAACCCCACGAAUUUAUGAGAUAUAUGAAAGAUUUAAUUUUCUCUUUACUGAGCUUUUGCCUGGUAGCUUUACCAAAAUCAGUACCGAGAAAGGCAUUGGAAUAGAGCAGCCCAAGAACAGAGAUGAUCUUCAGGAAAGUAUCCCUGAAAGACCAAAGUUGUGGCUUGUGUGUCUUCCCCUGGAGCAGCACAGAGGAGGGAAUUUUCUCCUGACCUGGGCGCGUCCUGCCCCCUCCCCACAUUCUCCUGCCUAACACGAAGGGAGGUUUUAAAAUAAAUAACAGGUUUUGCAAAAUAGAAGGAAAGAAGGAGGAAGAGGGAGAAGAGAAAGUCAUUGAGAGCUCCAGUAGGGUUGAGGGAGGAGAAAAGACAGUUCGCUUAUUAUAUAUGAACAUUUUGUUUUUCUUUCCUCACCUUUGGGUCCUGGUGCUAUAGUGUGUGUGGCACAGACUUCAGUGGUAGGACGACUCUCCAUGUCCAGACCCAGACUCUGAAUUUGCAAAAGAAAAAGCACCAGAAGGAUGAACUGGUUUCUUCCAAGUAGGGCUCCAAAGCCACUCAUGGCUGUGGUUCUUCAAAAAUGAUUGCCCAGAAGUGCCAAACAAGCAGCUUUAUUUUAAAUAAAACGUCUGCUUUGGGGAAGAAGGUAGUGUAUCUGGAGCACACAUUCCAAAAAGGGCUACAAAGACAAGAAGAAAGCAUAUCCUAGGUUGUUUAUUUUCUCAGUGCUCCAAAUGGACCAUACAUUAUCCAGACUGUUUAUUUUCAAGUGACAACAGUUUACUGAAAAUUAUCUCUGAGCUAAACACUCAAGUGUGCAGGUCAGUAGAAACAACCUAGAGAGCAGAGAGGAUAGAGAUGCCUUCUGCUCAGUACAUGAGCUGACAACUUAAUAUCCUAUGUUGCAUUUCUAUGUUGGGUUCCAGAAAGAUGGUGUCAGAGACUGCUUGAAUCACCUGCAUGACAUGGAAGCACUGUGCAGGGCUUUGAGCUUUUUCUUAAGGAAAUAUUCAUUACCUGUUGGCGGCAGCUGAAAGCUAGGGCUCCCAGUGUUCUUCAUGACCUUAUUUCCUUCUCUCAUUACAAAGAGUUGUCUUGGGAUUAAACCCCCGAGGAAUGAACAGCAGCUUUUCUACAAAGCAAUUUGGCAAUAAGUACCAAGAAUAUUAAAAAUGUUUAUAGCCUUUGGUCCAGUUAUUGCCUUUCUGUUACACUAUUUUAAGAAAAUGUUCUGAAAUGUGGACAAUAUUUUAUUCGAGAAAAUGUGGCAAAAAGAGGAAGGGACAUCAAUUGCCUAACAAUACAUUAUGGCUGGCAAAUCAUAGUAAAUAAACAUAUGAGAGAGUAUGACAUGACAAUUUGACAACAUUAUUAAAAUGAUGUUUGUAGUAAGUUUUUGCUAAAAUGGGGGGGAUUCUAUAGUAUUAUAUUUCUUUUUUUUUUUUUUAAGUUUAUUCAUUUAUUUUGAGAGAGAGCGGGGGAAAAGAGAGAAAAUCCCAAGCUCCAUGCUGUCAGCGCCGAGCUCAAUGUAGGGCUAGAACUAAUGAACCGCGAGAUCAUAACCUGAGCUGAAAUCGAGUCAGACACUUAACCGACUGAGUCAACCAAGUGCCCCUAUUACUGUUGCUUAAAAAUCAGGACCUUAUCCUGAUAAGGGCUAAUGAAGAAUUAUUUCUAAAAGAUGUCAUUACAAGUAAUGCUCAAUGUAAGAAAUACAGGCGUAUUCGUUUUUUAGGGCUGCUGUUAACAAAGUGCUGCAAGCUGAGUGGUUUAAGCAAACAAAAAUUUACUUUUUCAUAGUUCUGGAGGCUGGAAGUCUAAGACCAAGGUGUUGAUAAAGCCAUGCUUGCUCUGAAGACACCAGAAAAGGAUCUAUUCCAAGCCCCUCUCCUAGUUUCUGGUAUUUGCUUGGCUUGUGACAGUACAACUCCAGUCUUCUCACAGCUUUCUCCCUGUGUGUUUCUCGAUGUCCAAAUGUUUCCCUUUUUAUAAGCCUACCCAUUCUUAGUGGAUUAGGGCUGCCCCCCAAUGAUCUCAUUUUAACUUGAAUACCUCUUAUAAUCCUAUCUCUGAAUAUGGUUAUGUUAUAAGGUACUAGGAUUUAGGACUUCAACAUAUGAAUUUUUUUUUUUUUGUCUGGAAAGACACAAUUCAACCCCUAACAAAAGGUUUAUCAUAUGACAUAACUGGACCUUUUUAUUAGCAAUACGAAGAGAGGGAGGAAAGGGAACUGGCAUUAAUCGAAUAGUCAUUAUGUGCAAAAUAGGGUUGAUCUCUUAAGUGUAUCUUUUUUAAGCCUUAAGAUAGCCCUGUGGCAUGCCCAUUUUGCAGACAAAGUACUUGAGGUUCAAAAAGAUAAGCAUUCUGUUUAACAUCACUGUGAAGGUUAAUUUUAUGUAUCAACUUGACUGCAUCAUAGAGUGCCCAAGUAUUGGGAUAAACAUUGUUUCUGGGCUGCAUGUGUCACUGUUUCCAGAGGAGGUUAGCAGUGGAAUCUGUAGACUGUGUCAAGCAGAUUUCCCUCCCCAAUCCAGGUAGGCCUCAUCCACAUCACUGAGGGUUUUACUAGAACAAAAAGGUAGAGGAAGGAAGAAUUCCCUCUCUGCCUCAUUGGUGAAACUGAGAUUUCGGUCUUUUCCUGCACUUGGAUUGGAGCCCACAGCAUCAUCUCCCUGGGUCUUGGGCCUUUGCACCUAGACUGAACUUAACACCAUUACUUCCCUGAUUCUCAGGCUUUUGGGCUUGGACUGAAACUAUGCCACCAGCUUUCUCAGGCCUCCAGCUAGCAGAUGGCAGAUCAUGGGACUUCUCAGCCUCCAUAAUCAUGCGAGCCAAUGUCUUAUAACAAAUCCUUCCAUCUCUCAAUUUAGAGAUAAUACUGAUGUAUACAGAAUAUGGAUAUCGAUACAGACAUAUCUUGAUGGUUCUGUUUCCUUGGAGAACUCUGAUUAAUAGUCACCAAUUGAAAAAGGGACCAAAAAAGGAGUGCCGGGGUGGCUCAGUGGGCUAAGCGUUGGACUUCAGCUCAGGUCAUGAUCUCACAGUUGAUGAGUUGGAGCCCCAUGUCAGGUUCUGUGCUGACAGCUCAGAUCCUGGAGCCUGCUUUGGAUUCUGUGUCUCCCUCUCUCUCUACCGCUACCCUGCUAGCGCUCUGUUUCUCUCUGUAUCUCUUAAAAAUAAACAUCAAAAAAAAUGAAAAAAAAAAAGAAAAAGGGACCAAAAUAAGUCUAAUACAAAUCACUUCCCCAAAUUCCUGCUUUUUAAAAUGCUACUUGUCUUCCAUAAAGGUGAAUAAGCUUAAGCUUUGAAGAUGCAUUAAUUUUCACAUAUUCUUAAAAUGUCAAAAUGGUUUCAUUUGCCAUAUUAACAGUGAUGGGAUAAUAGUGGGAAUCCAUAGAAUGGUGUGAGCAACCUCAAAUUCCACAUCUAUCAUAACCAGACAAAUGACAUAGAGCAGAACACUCAAUUUCAAUUGCUAUAAGUCAUAUAAAGUGAGUUUAGACUUGAUAUAUAGUGUAUUUUCUUAAUUCUAAGAUACUCUGAGAAUAGGUGUUAUUUAAGUUGUUUAGACUAUUCUAAAUCUAUUUCAUUUUUUUUUCAAGCAUUUCCUGGCAAACAGUGAAAUACAUUCAUUACAUUUAUAUGUAGAAAUCCACUGGUAGCAGUUUGAAGCAAAUAAUAGUUCUUAGUACUUUUCCUUGGGAUAGCCUAUGCCUAUUUUUUCCAACCUCUCCCUCGCCCCUGCUCCUUUUUUUUAGUUCAACAAUUCAUAGAGACUUCCAGAGAAGAUGGCAGAGUAAACUCACUCAUCCCACAGAUACAUCUAGAUACACUCAGUUUAAAUAACCCAGAAAAUGACCCAAAGACUGGUAGAACAGACUCUCCCCAGCUAGAUGUAGAGAAGAGGCAACAUUGAAGAGGGUGGGAAGGGCAGAGACAUGGUCAGAAGCCAAACAGACCCCCAGUACUAUCUGUGAGAGGGAGGAACACCACAGGUGUGAAGAGGGGGGAGGACCAGAUCCCACCCCAGGCACCCCAGGCAUGGGGAACUUGCAGGAAAAACAGAGGGACACAAUUUCAUGAGUUCUUUACUCAGCUACAUGCAAAAGAGUGAAACUGGACCACUUUCUUACAGCACACACAAAAAUAGAUGCAAAAUGGAUUAAAGACAUACAUGUGAGACUUGAAACCAUAAAAAUCCUACAAGAGAGCACAGGCAGUAAUUUCUCUGACAUCAGCCAUCGCAGGUCUUUCUAGAUAUUACUCCUGAAGCAAGGGGCAUGAGCAGCAUGGAGUCUGCUUAAGAUUCUCUCUCUCUCCCUCUGCCCCUCCCCUGCUCUUUCUCAAAAUAAAUAAAUAAAUAAAUAACCUUUAAAAAAUAAAUAAAAUAGAAUAGGUCAGGUGAUUGGAUAAAUGAAAAGAAGUGGUCAAAUUAUGUUAAGUGUAUUCAUUUUAGUGUGUGAAUAAUAUACCUAAUGCCCAGACAGAUACCUAAUGCCCCAAAGAAUUUCUACUGAGAUGUAAAACAAUUCAAUUGUUUUCUUUUUAGAAAAACAUGGUUUGGAAAUAGACAAUAAAACCUAUCAAGUUUUCAGCAGGUAUAAAAUUGGAAGAAGUUAAUGGUAACUCUAAAAAGACAGGACUUAGUGACUGGCUUAUGAAACUGUCUCUGUAAUUCCACAUUUUCCUGAAUGUUUUUGUCUUCCUCUUCCCAAGGCAUUGAAAUUUCAGGCUUGGUUUUGUGCUUGUCUGAAUAAAACAUUCCACUAAAGUGAAUGAUAUGUGAUAUUUCCCCACUCUUAUUCUUUGACCCGUUUUUCAUGGGGUUGAAUGGUGAGCCCAUGAAAAAUAUGCCCACAACUUAAUCCCUAGAACUUGUAAAUGUGAUCUUAGUUGGCAAAAGUGUCUUUGCAGAUGUAAUUAAGCUAAGGCUCUCAAGAGGGAAUAAUCUUGUAUUAUCUGGGUGAUGGUGACAAGUGUCCUUAGGAGACACCCACAGGAGGGACAUAGGGACAAAAGGAGAAGGUCAUGUGAAGACAGAGUCUGGAGAGGCUGAAAUUAUGCAGCUGAGGAACACUGGGAGCCACCAGAAACUAGAAGAGACAAGGAAGGGUCCUCUUAAACCUUCAGAAGGAAUGCAGCUCUGCUGAUGCCUUGAUUCACUUCAGGCCUUCAGAACUGUGAGUUCAUAAAUUUUUCUUCUUUUUAAUAAUUUUUUUAAUGUUUAAUUAUUUUGGGGGGGGAGAGAGAGAGAGAGAGAGAGAGAGCAUGAGUGGGGGAGGAGCAGAGAGAGAGAGAGGGAGACAUAGAAUCCCACGCAGGCUCCACACACACUGUCAGCACACAGCCUGGUGUUGGGCUCGAACCCAUGAACUGUGAGGUCAUGACCUGAGCUGAAAUAAAGAGUUGGAUGCUCAACUGACUGAGCCACCCAGGUGCCCCCUCAAAUUUUCUUGUUUUAAGCCAUCACAUUUGUGGUAAUUUGUUACAGGAGCCCUAGGGAAUUAAUACACCAUUCUUAUGAUAUUCAUAUACAGUUACUGGAAGGAAUGACACAUCAAAACGUUUACUCAGUGCCUGACAGAGACCGAGCAACAUCUAUUCUUGUGCAUUUAGUUGUCAUGCAUCCAGCUUAUGUGAUAUCUGGAGGGAGAUGAAAUACAUAUGAAACCAGCACAUCCUAGGCAGAACUCAGGCUAUCUUCAGGAUGGCAACAAAAUGACACACUCCUCUCCUGAAGGAAUCUCCUGACAAAUUGCUAUACUUCCAUUUUGGGCUUGGUUUUGUAUGUGUCCAUUCACAUAAGCAUCUUAUUGGACUCA